CGAAAGGGGCGGUAAUACCAGAUAAUGUCCUUCGGGACCAAAGAUUUAUCGGCAUUGGAGCGGNCUAUCUCCUAUCAGCUUGUUGGUGAGGUAACGGCUCACCAAGGCAACGACGGGUAGCGGGACUGAGAGGUUGGCCCGCCACAUCGGGACUGAGACACUGCCCGGACCUCCACGGAGGGCUGCAGUAACGGAUAUUGGGCAAUGGGCGAAAGCCUGACCCAGCAAUGCCGCGUGCAGGAUGAAGCCCCUAGGGGUGUAAACUGCUGUCAGGGGUCAGAAAGCUGGUUUCGGCCAGUUGAUCAACCCCAGAGGAAGUCACGGCUAACUUCGUGCCAGCAGCCGCGGUAAUACGAAGGUGGCAAGCGUUAUUCGGAAUCAUUGGGCUUAAAGGGCACGCAGGCGGAACAGUGUGUGUUGUGUGAAAUCCCCCGGCUUAACCGGGGAAUUGCACAGCAAACUGCUGUUCUUGAGGCAGGUAGGGGUGCAUGGAACUCUUGGUGGAGCGGUGGAAUGCGUAGAUAUCAAGAGGAACGCCAGAGGUGAAGACGGUGCACUGGGCCUGUCCUGACGCUGAGGUGCGAAAGCGUGGGGAGCGAACGGGAUUAGAUACCCCGGUAGUCCACGCCGUAAACGAUGUCUACUAGGUCGUGGGUGUUCUGACACAUUCACGGCCGGAGCAAAAGUGCUUAGUAGACCGCCUGGGGAGUACGGCCGCAAGGUUAAAACUCAAAUGAAUUGACGGGGGCUCACACAAGCGGUGGAGCAUGUGGAUUAAUUCGAAGCAACGCGCAGAACCUUACCUGGGUUUGACAUGCUUGUAUGCCUUCUCUGAAAGGAGUUAGGCUGCCUUCGGGUGAAACUUGCACAGGUGCUGCAUGGCUGUCGUCAGCUCGUGUCGUGAGAUGUCGGGUUAAGUCCUUUAACGAGCGAAACCCUUGCCGUUAGUUGCCAGCGAGUAAUGUCGGGGACUCUAACGGGACUGCCGGUGUUAAACCGGAGGACCCCUGGGGAUGACGUCAAGUCCUCAUGGCCUUUAUGCCCAGGGCUUCACACGUGCUACAAUGGCAAUUACAGAGCGACGCGGUACCGCGAGGUGGAGCAAAUCGCAAAAAAAUUGCCUCAGUUCGGAUUGCAGGCUGGCAAUUCGCCUGCAUGAAGUCGGAAUCGCUAGUAAUCGCGUAUCAGCAAUGACGCGGUGAAUGUGUUCCUGAG
Molecule: ribosomal RNA, 1215 nt
Filed under: uncultured organism
Description: bacterial SSU rRNA
Rfam family: Bacterial small subunit ribosomal RNA
Source: RNAcentral